CGCGCAACAAUCGCGUAGCAGAAGAUAUUUUCAAGCAGCUAGCACGUGUCCCCCUCCUGGUGCCACUGUGGCCGCACUUCACACGCAAAAAUCAAGAUUGCAAAGGGGAAAAUUCCCUUGAAACUGGAAACACGCGCACGCAGCGUCUCAGCGCCCUAACAAGCGCCAGUAUAUACAACGAGGCAGCUCGUUCGAGCAGCGACGUAGUACUUGGCGUGAAGCCUCGGGUGAGACGCCAGGUGGGUACCGGGAACGAUCGUCU
This 262-nucleotide unclassified non-coding RNA is filed under the name Bombus terrestris (buff-tailed bumblebee). RNAcentral's name for it is "misc RNA ENSBTSG00005038260.1". Lineage: Eukaryota; Metazoa; Arthropoda; Insecta; Hymenoptera; Apidae. The record is from RNAcentral.